GGAGCCGUGCCUGAGUGUUCAAGGACCAUUUUGAUAGAAUGAUAUACGGAGGUUAAACCCCUCCCGUCUCCU
Molecule: transfer RNA, 72 nt
Filed under: Ctenolucius hujeta
Lineage: Eukaryota; Metazoa; Chordata; Actinopteri; Characiformes; Ctenoluciidae
Description: tRNA-Ile
Rfam family: tRNA
About the family: Transfer RNA (tRNA) molecules are approximately 80 nucleotides in length. Their secondary structure includes four short double-helical elements and three loops (D, anti-codon, and T loops). Further hydrogen bonds mediate the characteristic L-shaped molecular structure. tRNAs have two regions of fundamental functional importance: the anti-codon, which is responsible for specific mRNA codon recognition, and the 3' end, to which the tRNAs corresponding amino acid is attached (by aminoacyl-tRNA synthetases). tRNAs cope with the degeneracy of the genetic code in two manners: having more than one tRNA (with a specific anti-codon) for a particular amino acid; and 'wobble' base-pairing, i.e. permitting non-standard base-pairing at the 3rd anti-codon position.
Source: RNAcentral